RNAcentral lists this ribosomal RNA (316 nucleotides) under uncultured Chloroflexota bacterium. RNAcentral's name for it is "bacterial SSU rRNA". It matches the Rfam family "Bacterial small subunit ribosomal RNA", at positions 29 to 351 of the family's 1533-position model. Lineage: Bacteria; Bacillati; Chloroflexota. The record is from RNAcentral.
AAUAAACGCUGGCGGCGUGCAUUAUGCAUGCAAGUCGAACGGCCCUUCGCAAGAAGGGCAGUGGCAAACGGGUGAGUAACACGUAAGUAACCUGCCCCUAAGUGGGGAAUAACCUCGGGAAACCGAGGUUAAUACCGCAUGUAGUGGUGGAGGUAAGGCUUCACCACCAAAGCCUUCGGGCGCUUGGGGAGGGGCUUGCGUCUGAUUAGCUAGUUGGUAGGGUAACGGCUUACCAAGGUUGUGAUCAGUAGCUGGUCUGAGAGGAUGGUCAGCCACACUGGGACUGAGACACGGCCCAGACUCCUACGGGUGGCUG